Molecule: ribosomal RNA, 2927 nt
Filed under: Citrobacter freundii
Lineage: Bacteria; Pseudomonadati; Pseudomonadota; Gammaproteobacteria; Enterobacterales; Enterobacteriaceae
Description: bacterial LSU rRNA
Rfam family: Bacterial large subunit ribosomal RNA
Source: RNAcentral
GGGUUGUGAGGUUAAGCGACUAAGCGUACACGGUGGAUGCCCUGGCAGUCAGAGGCGAUGAAGGACGUGCUAAUCUGCGAUAAGCGUCGGUAAGGUGAUAUGAACCGUUAUAACCGGCGAUUUCCGAAUGGGGAAACCCAGUGUGAUUCGUCACACUAUCGUUAACUGAAUACAUAGGUUAACGAAGCGAACCGGGGGAACUGAAACAUCUAAGUACCCCGAGGAAAAGAAAUCAACCGAGAUUCCCCCAGUAGCGGCGAGCGAACGGGGAGCAGCCCAGAGUCUGAAUCAGCUUGUGUGUUAGUGGAACGGUCUGGAAAGUCCGACGGUACAGGGUGAUAGUCCCGUACACCAAAAUGCACAGGUUGUGAACUCGAAGAGUAGGGCGGGACACGUGGUAUCCUGUCUGAAUAUGGGGGGACCAUCCUCCAAGGCUAAAUACUCCUGACUGACCGAUAGUGAACCAGUACCGUGAGGGAAAGGCGAAAAGAACCCCGGCGAGGGGAGUGAAAAAGAACCUGAAACCGUGUACGUACAAGCAGUGGGAGCCUCUUUAUGGGGUGACUGCGUACCUUUUGUAUAAUGGGUCAGCGACUUAUAUUCUGUAGCAAGGUUAACCGUAUAGGGGAGCCGAAGGGAAACCGAGUCUUAACUGGGCGUUAAGUUGCAGGGUAUAGACCCGAAACCCGGUGAUCUAGCCAUGGGCAGGUUGAAGGUUGGGUAACACUAACUGGAGGACCGAACCGACUAAUGUUGAAAAAUUAGCGGAUGACUUGUGGCUGGGGGUGAAAGGCCAAUCAAACCGGGAGAUAGCUGGUUCUCCCCGAAAGCUAUUUAGGUAGCGCCUCGUGAACUCAUCUUCGGGGGUAGAGCACUGUUUCGGCUAGGGGGUCAUCCCGACUUACCAACCCGAUGCAAACUGCGAAUACCGAAGAAUGUUAUCACGGGAGACACACGGCGGGUGCUAACGUCCGUCGUGAAGAGGGAAACAACCCAGACCGCCAGCUAAGGUCCCAAAGUCAUGGUUAAGUGGGAAACGAUGUGGGAAGGCACAGACAGCCAGGAUGUUGGCUUAGAAGCAGCCAUCAUUUAAAGAAAGCGUAAUAGCUCACUGGUCGAGUCGGCCUGCGCGGAAGAUGUAACGGGGCUAAACCAUGCACCGAAGCUGCGGCAGCGACACUAUGUGUUGUUGGGUAGGGGAGCGUUCUGUAAGCCGUUGAAGGUGUAUCGUGAGGUAUGCUGGAGGUAUCAGAAGUGCGAAUGCUGACAUAAGUAACGAUAAUGCGGGUGAAAAACCCGCACGCCGGAAGACCAAGGGUUCCUGUCCAACGUUAAUCGGGGCAGGGUGAGUCGACCCCUAAGGCGAGGCCGAAAGGCGUAGUCGAUGGGAAACAGGUUAAUAUUCCUGUACUUGGUGUUACUGCGAAGGGGGGACGGAGAAGGCUAUGUUAGCCGGGCGACGGUUGUCCCGGUUUAAGCAUGUAGGCGGAGGUUCCAGGUAAAUCCGGUACCUUUUAACGCUGAGGUGUGAUGACGAGGCACUACGGUGCUGAAGUAACAAAUGCCCUGCUUCCAGGAAAAGCCUCUAAGCAUCAGGUAACACGAAAUCGUACCCCAAACCGACACAGGUGGUCAGGUAGAGAAUACCAAGGCGCUUGAGAGAACUCGGGUGAAGGAACUAGGCAAAAUGGUGCCGUAACUUCGGGAGAAGGCACGCUGAUAUGUAGGUGAAGUGAUUUACUCAUGGAGCUGAAAUCAGUCGAAGAUACCAGCUGGCUGCAACUGUUUAUUAAAAACACAGCACUGUGCAAACACGAAAGUGGACGUAUACGGUGUGACGCCUGCCCGGUGCCGGAAGGUUAAUUGAUGGGGUUAUCCGUAAGGAGAAGCUCUUGAUCGAAGCCCCGGUAAACGGCGGCCGUAACUAUAACGGUCCUAAGGUAGCGAAAUUCCUUGUCGGGUAAGUUCCGACCUGCACGAAUGGCGUAAUGAUGGCCAGGCUGUCUCCACCCGAGACUCAGUGAAAUUGAACUCGCUGUGAAGAUGCAGUGUACCCGCGGCAAGACGGAAAGACCCCGUGAACCUUUACUAUAGCUUGACACUGAACACUGGUCCUUGAUGUGUAGGAUAGGUGGGAGGCUUUGAAGUGUGGACGCCAGUCUGCAUGGAGCCAUCCUUGAAAUACCACCCUUUAAUGGCUGGUGUUCUAACGUGGACCCGUAAUCCGGGUUGCGGACAGUGUCUGGUGGGUAGUUUGACUGGGGCGGUCUCCUCCUAAAGAGUAACGGAGGAGCACGAAGGUUAGCUAAUCCUGGUCGGACAUCAGGAGGUUAGUGCAAAGGCAUAAGCUAGCUUGACUGCGAGAGUGACGGCUCGAGCAGGUGCGAAAGCAGGUCUUAGUGAUCCGGUGGUUCUGAAUGGAAGGGCCAUCGCUCAACGGAUAAAAGGUACUCCGGGGAUAACAGGCUGAUACCGCCCAAGAGUUCAUAUCGACGGCGGUGUUUGGCACCUCGAUGUCGGCUCAUCACAUCCUGGGGCUGAAGUAGGUCCCAAGGGUAUGGCUGUUCGCCAUUUAAAGUGGUACGCGAGCUGGGUUUAGAACGUCGUGAGACAGUUCGGUCCCUAUCUGCCGUGGGCGCUGGAGAAUUGAGGGGGGCUGCUCCUAGUACGAGAGGACCGGAGUGGACGCAUCACUGGUGUUCGGGUUGUCAUGCCAAUGGCAUUGCCCGGUAGCUAAAUGCGGAAGAGAUAAGUGCUGAAAGCAUCUAAGCACGAAACUUGCCCCGAGAUGAGUUCUCCCUGAGACUAUAAGUCUCCUGAAGGAACGUUGAAGACGACGACGUUGAUAGGUCGGGUGUGUAAGUGUAGCGAUACAUUGAGCUAACCGAUACUAAUGAACCGUGAGGCUUAACCUUACAACGCCGAAG